AUGCAAGUCGAGCGAACUGAUGAGAAGCUUGCUUCUCUGACGUUAGCGGCGGACGGGUGAGUAACACGUGGGCAACCUGCCCUAUAGUUGGGGAUAACUCCGGGAAACCGGGGCUAAUACCGAAUAAUACAUUCCAUCUCCUGUUGGAAUGUUGAAAGAUGGUUUACGCUAUCGCUAUAGGAUGGGCCCGCGGCGCAUUAGCUAGUUGGUGAGGUAACGGCUCACCAAGGCGACGAUGCGUAGCCGACCUGAGAGGGUGAUCGGCCACACUGGGACUGAGACACGGCCCACACUCCUACGGGAGGCAGCAGUAGGGAAUCUUCCACAAUGGGCGAAAGCCUGAUGGAGCAACGCCGCGUGAGUGAAGAAGUUUUCGGAUCGUAAAACUCUGUUGUAAGGGAAGAACAAGUACAGUAGUAACUGGCUGUACCUUGACG
RNAcentral lists this ribosomal RNA (437 nucleotides) under forest soil bacterium 2S2.H3. Its description in RNAcentral is "bacterial SSU rRNA". It matches the Rfam family "Bacterial small subunit ribosomal RNA", at positions 55 to 485 of the family's 1533-position model. The record is from RNAcentral.